Molecule: ribosomal RNA, 380 nt
Filed under: uncultured bacterium
Lineage: Bacteria
Description: bacterial SSU rRNA
Rfam family: Bacterial small subunit ribosomal RNA
Source: RNAcentral
CUACGGGAGGCAGCAGUGGGGGAUAUUGCGCAAUGGGGGAAACCCUGACGCAGCGACGCCGCGUGAGCGAAGAAGGCCUUCGGGUCGUAAAGCUCAGUCAUCGGGGACGAAAAGGACGGUACCCGAAGAGGAAGCCCCGGCUAACUACGUGCCAGCAGCCGCGGUAAUACGUAGGGGGCGAGCGUUGUCCGGAAUUACUGGGUGUAAAGGGCGUGUAGGCGGGGAUGCAAGUUAUCGGUAAAAACCCCAGGCUCAACUUGGGGCUUGCCGAUAAAACUGCAACUCUUGAGUGCAGGAGAGGGAAGUGGAAUUCCCGGAGUAGCGGUGAAAUGCGUAGAUACCGGGAGGAACACCAGUGGCGAAGGCGGCUUCCUGGCCUG